This 495-nucleotide ribosomal RNA is filed under the name Candida tropicalis. RNAcentral's name for it is "partial 26S ribosomal RNA". It matches the Rfam family "Eukaryotic large subunit ribosomal RNA", at positions 100 to 599 of the family's 3401-position model. The record is from RNAcentral. Lineage: Eukaryota; Fungi; Ascomycota; Pichiomycetes; Serinales; Debaryomycetaceae.
CGGCAAAGCUCAAAUUUGAAAUCUGGCUCUUUCAGAGUCCGAGUUGNNNNNNGANGNNGGUAUCUUUGGGUCUGGCUCUUGUCUAAUGUUUCUUGGAACAGAACGUCACAGAGGGUGAGAAUCCCGUGCGAUGAGAUGAUCCAGGCCUAUGUAAAGUUCCUUCUGAAGAGUCGAGUUGUUUGGGAAUGCAGCUCUAAGUGGGUGGUAAAUUCCAUCUAAAGCUAAAUAUUGGCGAGAGACCGAUAGCGAACAAGUACAGUGAUGGAAAGAUGAAAAGAACUUUGAAAAGAGAGUGAAAAAGUACGUGAAAUUGUUGAAAGGGAAGGGCUUGAGAUCAGACUUGGUAUUUUGUAUGUUACUUCUUCGGGGGUGGCCUCUACAGUUUAUCGGGCCAGCAUCAGUUUGGGCGGUAGGAGAAUUGCGUUGGAAUGUGGCACGGCUUCGGUUGUGUGUUAUAGCCUUUGUCGAUACUGCCAGCCUAGACUGAGGACUGCG